RNAcentral lists this ribosomal RNA (463 nucleotides) under uncultured bacterium. RNAcentral's name for it is "bacterial SSU rRNA". It matches the Rfam family "Bacterial small subunit ribosomal RNA", at positions 28 to 484 of the family's 1533-position model. The record is from RNAcentral.
GAUGAACGCUAGCGGCAGGCUUAACACAUGCAAGUCGAGGGGCAGCGUGGAGCAGCAAUGCUCUGACGGCGACCGGCGGAAGGGUGCGUAACACGUGAGCGACUUGCCCGUCACAGGGGGAUAACCGGCGGAAACGGCGACUAAUACCCCAUACGAUGUGAUGCUGCAUGGCAUUGCAUUGAAAGAUUCAUCGGUGGCGGAUAGGCUCGCGGGACAUUAGCUAGACGGCGGGGCAACGGCCCACCGUGGCGACGAUGUCUAGGGGUUCUGAGAGGAAGGCCCCCCCANACUGGGACUGAGACACGGCCCAGACUCCUACGGGAGGCAGCAGUGAGGAAUAUUGGUCAAUGGGCGGAAGCCUGAACCAGCCAUGCCGCGUGAAGGACUAAGGCCCUACGGGUCGUAAACUUCUUUAGACGCAGAGCAAUAAGGUCCACGCGUGGACCGAUGAGAGUAUGCGUAG